Long non-coding RNA from Gallus gallus (chicken), 1143 nucleotides. The record is from Ensembl. Lineage: Eukaryota; Metazoa; Chordata; Aves; Galliformes; Phasianidae.
GGCUGACAGGCCUGUACUUCCUAAGAUCCUCCUCAUGGCCCUUCUUGUAGAUGGGAGUCACAUCGGCAAGCCUUCAGUCUUUUGGGAUCUCUCCAGAUAACCAGCAGAGCUAGUAGAUGGCAGAGAGUGGCUUGGCAAUCAUCCCCGCCAGCUCCCUCAGCACCCUAGGAUGGAGCCCGUCCGGUCCCUCGGACUUGUGACAGUCCAGAUGGAGGUGGAGCUCUCUAACUGUCUCCACCUGAAUCAUCAGGGGUGUAUUCUGCAUACCAUCCCAGACUUCCAGAACAGGGCAUAAAGUACCCUGAGGAUAACUGAGCCAUGGAGCAAUGCUGGGUGUGCUCUGGGAGAGCAGAUAGAAGAGAGGACAAAACUGCUUCACGACAGCAUCUGGGAGAGCAGCAGCCCUGCAGGCGCCCAGUUUUGGAUUUAUUGACAACAUCUAACCAAACCCACUGGGAGAGUCUUCAGAGAGUAUCCACAUCCUUGCCAUCUGUCUUCAGCAGCAUUGUGCCUCUGGGAAGCAAAGACUGGAUCUGCUUACUCUGUCCCAAACAACAACAGUAUCAGCUGAGAGGAUAAAGACAAGUUGCACACACUAAGAAGAUGUUAGCAUUUUAAUCUCACAGAUUAGUUUAGGCUCUUAAGAUCAUUUAAAAUGCAAUUGCACAGAGUACUGGCAGAACCGCUGAGGAGCAAUUGGUACAUCUGUACUUUUUUCUGUCUUAGGUUUAAGUGCCUAGCAUUGAAAUUGGUAGCUUGAAUACUUUUGAAUUCAGAAGCUAAGACAAUGUCACAGAUAAACUUUCUAUGCAAUAAAUGUCAGCUUCAUCAGUCUUCUUAGAAGUGAUAUGAUUAACUUCUGACAGCAUUUUGAGAACAUGUGCAGUUCUUUAUUUGGAUGUACGGUUGAAGCAGUGAUAAAUUCCUUUUCAAAAGCAAAUGAAGAACUAUAGGUAUGGUAGAUGCCAACUUCCUGCCUGGCAAUUGGCUUCUGAACAUUUGCGUUCUUGCCUUCCUGUGUGUUUCUUGAUUACUUCACUGAUCAGAUGCAUUUGCAGCUUCCACUUCUGCUGUCUGACCUGCACCUGUUGUAUGCAAAUACCACUGAAAUGUCUUCAGAGCAGAAAGAACAAAAAGCUGAAU